Molecule: ribosomal RNA, 252 nt
Filed under: uncultured Bacteroidales bacterium
Lineage: Bacteria; Pseudomonadati; Bacteroidota; Bacteroidia; Bacteroidales
Description: partial 16S ribosomal RNA
Rfam family: Bacterial small subunit ribosomal RNA
Source: RNAcentral
UACGGAGGAUGCGAGCGUUAUCCGGAUUUAUUGGGUUUAAAGGGUGCGCAGGCGGAAUGUCAAGUCAGCGGUAAAAUUUCGGGGCUCAACCCCGUCGUGCCGUUGAAACUGGCAGACUUGAGUUGGCGAGAAGUACGCGGAAUGCGCGGUGUAGCGGUGAAAUGCAUAGAUAUCGCGCAGAACUCCGAUUGCGAAGGCAGCGUACCGGCGCCACACUGACGCUGAUGCGCGAAAGCGUGGGGAGCAAACAGG